RNAcentral lists this ribosomal RNA (253 nucleotides) under uncultured bacterium. RNAcentral's name for it is "partial 16S ribosomal RNA". It matches the Rfam family "Bacterial small subunit ribosomal RNA", at positions 524 to 776 of the family's 1533-position model. The record is from RNAcentral.
UACGAAGGGGGCUAGCGUUGCUCGGAAUUACUGGGCGUAAAGGGCGCGUAGGCGGCACUGUUAGUCAGGCGUGAAAGUCCUGGGCUCAACCUGGGGGCUGCAUUUGAUACGUAUGGGCUUGAGUGGGGAAGAGGGUCGUGGAAUUCCCAGUGUAGAGGUGAAAUUCGUAGAUAUUGGGAAGAACACCGGUGGCGAAGGCGGCGACCUGGUCCUUGACUGACGCUGAGGCGCGAAAGCGUGGGGAGCAAACAGG